Molecule: transfer RNA, 77 nt
Filed under: Escherichia coli
Lineage: Bacteria; Pseudomonadati; Pseudomonadota; Gammaproteobacteria; Enterobacterales; Enterobacteriaceae
Also listed under: 5 other names
Description: tRNA-Pro
Rfam family: tRNA
About the family: Transfer RNA (tRNA) molecules are approximately 80 nucleotides in length.
Source: RNAcentral
CGGCGAGUAGCGCAGCUUGGUAGCGCAACUGGUUUGGGACCAGUAGGUCGGAGGUUCGAAUCCUCUCUCGCCGACCA